RNAcentral lists this long non-coding RNA (672 nucleotides) under Malus domestica (apple). RNAcentral's name for it is "long non-coding RNA (MDOM_LNC014359)". Lineage: Eukaryota; Viridiplantae; Streptophyta; Magnoliopsida; Rosales; Rosaceae. The record is from RNAcentral.
ACUAAUCCUAUGGCUAAAGGAAUGAGCACCACAAAAAGCUUUAUUGAUGUGUUGGAACUUCCAGUUGCAACAAACUUCCCGUCAGGACUAAACCCUGCACAUCUGGCAAUAUUAUAGAAAGUUUAUCCCAUCAGAACAAGUAAGACGCCCAGUGGAAAGUGAUUUUAUCAUGCUAACUUAGUGAAUCAAUGAAAAUAAGCACACAUGUUAUGCAAUUAAUUUUUUCCCUUGUUAUGUAUACCUUGCGCUCUGAAAGAUGGCGUGUCUCAUGCUUUGGAAAACUCUUUGGUGAGCCUUUUGUUUCCUGCACAGCACUGUUUGCACGAAGAUAUGCAAGAUCAGAUUAAUAGGGUUAGUUAUACAAAAUUUUGUAAAUAUUAUUCCUAGGAGUUUUUCAUGGUCAGUUUCCUUUUUCCCUGAGCAACUAAACGAUAAGUACCAGAGCCGAAAGUUUGGAAGUUUGUUUGUAAUCCAUUGCAAAUCAAGAAGGCAUCAAGCAGUAAUCAAAUGACACGGAAACCUAUUCCGAAAAACAUAAUUACCCAAAAUCAACAGCAGCAGUGCGAGUAGCUGGGAUGCCACCAUAUCUAGAAGCUACUGAUGUACCCAAAUCAUAUGCAGAUAAAGAAACCCCUCUCAACAUCUCAUCUUUCUCCACUGCAAGGCCCUGUA